Molecule: long non-coding RNA, 2809 nt
Organism: Manis javanica (Malayan pangolin)
Lineage: Eukaryota; Metazoa; Chordata; Mammalia; Pholidota; Manidae
Source: RefSeq, a predicted model, not a curated record
GGCACCCUCCACUCCCUUCACUUCCAGGGCCCCGUUCUCACCCUGACAAAUGGGGCAAUAGUAGGGAUGUUGUGAGAAUUUGAUGCGGAGCCCUCAGGACAGCUUCCGCGCUCCCUCGUAGGCGCUCAGGAAAGGCCUCGAUUUCCCCAGGUGGGGCUUGGACUUCGGCGUCCCGUCUGCCUCGACUAGCAGACCAGGCGCCGCCCGCCCCGCCCGCAGGAAAGGGGUGCGCGGGGCCAGCACACGCCGUUCCCGCUGCCCCACCGGCGCCCAUAUUGGUGAGCCCGUUAGAGCCCAGCCCGCAGGUUUCUGGAGCCGAGCGUUCCCACCUUCCCCGGAGCUGAGCUGCGGGGCUCGGAUGUCCGGCCAUUGCGCACCCGUGAGCCCAGGCCGCCCCGGCCCCUUGGUUUGCUUGCGGGCUGGGGCUCUAGCCCUGGAGCCCCCACGCAGCCCCGGAGAGUGCCUUCCCAGCGUCGGGGCAUCCUCCAGCUCCUAGGCUGCUGGAGAGCUUCGGAAUUCCUGGCACACACACACCGAGACUUCCCCCACCCCCUCCCACGGUACAGAUGGGGAAACUAAGGCCCAGAACGUAGCAGCGACUUGGCCAAGGUCACCCUGCGUGGGAGGACCAGAGCCCAGAUGUGCCAUCACCGCCUGGGCGGCGCCGGGAACAGCACAGAUCAGACCCAGAUGCCUACCCUCUCAGGCUCAUCUCCCCCUCUUCUCAGCCCCAGAGACUGUAAUAACUGCCUACCUGGGUAGGACUUAGGCAAAUGGGAACUGAGAUGGGACUGUACUUGUGUAUGCAAAUCUGACAUGUGUCCACAUGUGAAAAUUAGGCCUGAAGACCAGAAGCCUUUUCCUUGGCCCGGUGACCACUGUCAGCUCCUACCAUGGGCAGGGAUUCCUCUGCCUCAGUAAGACAGACGUAGCCAGGGCAGUGCAUCUGAUACCUCAAAUCCCCACCCACAUCCCCACCCUUCAGGCUCAGAACAGUGUCCACUAGAGUGGGCCUCCAAGACCUCUAGAUACCCCAGACCCCCAAUAACCAAUGAUUCAGAGAGCGGGAUGGUAGCUGUCUUAAAACCAUGGGCAAAGGAGAAGCUAGAUCAGCAGUGGGUCUCAGGUCUCCCUGAGUGUAUUCAAGGGGAAGGGAUUAUGGCUUGGCAGAAUCUACACCCCCCACACACACACCUGUGCCCUGCCAUCCAUAACCUUAAAAACCUUUUUCCAGCCUCAGGUGGGUGGAAGAACACAGACUUGUCCCUAUGGAGACAAGGCAGCACAGAGGGUGGUUGAAAGCAUGGGCCCAGACCUCCUGGGGUGCAAAUCUCAGCUACUCCACUGGCAGGUCUGAGACUUUGACAAGUCAGUUAAACUCCUUAUGCCUUAGUUUCCUCAUUUAUGAAACAGAAAUAAGAAAAGUACGGACUUCAUAGGGUUACUUAGAAGAUGAAAUGAAGUCCACCAUACAAAGGGUUUAACACAGUGCCUGGCAGCUAAACUGGGAGACAGAAGCUCCAGGUUCUUAUUCGAGCUUUGCCAGCAACUUACUGUGUGACCCUGGACAAGUCACUUGCCAUCUCUGGGCUUCAGAGUCUCCACAAGGUUAUCUAUAUCUUAUCUACAUCAGUUGGGUCCUGCCAGUUGUGAGAAGCUGAGACUUUGUGGAGAGCCCCACAGGACACUUUCUUUACCACAUAUAUUCAUCCAGGUUGGUAGCAGCUAAUGGCAGGAAACUUGAGCUGCAGGCUUCUGCCCACCUCAUCUCCCUGCACUCCUUGUUUCCCUAGCCUGCCAGCAACCCCAUUCUGCCCUGCUUAGCUGGUACUCGGGCCUUAGAGAAAUGGUACCUGUACCCAUCCAUCCCAAGUGGUGGGUGCCCAAGUCAGAAGAUGUCACAAGCCAUAUAUAGAACUGUCAGAGAGCACCCAAGAGAAGCAGUUAUUAUUGCGGAAGGACAGAUUUAAUUGUCUGAAGAUGCUUAUAAUCCUCUGGUGGUAAUGGGAGGAAGUUUUAAAAGGAAGCUCUAAUCCACUAAUAACCUGGCAGCUUCACAGGCCUCUUCCCUCCAGAUCUCCAGGCAGAGAGGAGAGACUCCGACCACUCCCUUUCCCAAGGGAACAGAAAGGCCAGUGUGGGCUCUGACCCAAGACCUCCUAGACUUCUACUCUGCAAGACCCAGCUUCCUUCCUGCCUCCGCCUCCGAGAAGUCUUCCCUGCCUAUUCCUUAAGCCUGAGGUCUCCUCUGCCCUAAAAGUGUCAGGACAGAACUGGAUGACCAUCUGGCUGGAUGUUAAUUAAAAAGAGGAAUGAGCCAGACUGUGAGGCAAGAAGAGCAUGAUCACAGUCUCAGCUCUAAUACUGACUGUGUGGCCUUGGGCAAGGUGCUUAGGUCUCUGUGCCUCAGUUACAUCACCUGUAAAGUGGGGAGAACAAAACCUGCCUUGAAAGGUUCCAGUAAGAUCCACGAGGAUGAGAUGCCAUGAAAUACCUGGCUCCGUGUGAAAAGACACUAGGACUCAUUAGAGGUGGUCCCUUCUUCUCCCCUCUCCACACGUGGUAUCUCCUACUCCAGAAUGUCAGCAUGUGACAUUUUGCCUUUUAUAAAGUAUACAGAAUACACUGGUGGCUAAGAGCAAAACUCCAUGUUAAAAAAACUGAUUGAAUCAUGGUGUAACAGCUUGCUAAUCAUGAUUCUUGGACCAGUCACUUAAUGUUCCUUGGGCCUCAAUCUGUAUAAUGGAGGUAAGAGCAAUAUAUCCCUCAGGGGGAUUUUUAUGAGAUUAAAUAAAAUGAUAUGUGUAAA